RNAcentral lists this long non-coding RNA (223 nucleotides) under Vigna radiata. RNAcentral describes it as "long non-coding RNA (VRAD_LNC005859)". Lineage: Eukaryota; Viridiplantae; Streptophyta; Magnoliopsida; Fabales; Fabaceae. The record is from RNAcentral.
UGAAACUGUCAUAAAGAAAGUUUGUGUAUUUGUUGCGAAAGAUCUUUAAUUAAACCUUCUUAAUUGAUGCGUAUUCAUGUGAUUUGCAUCUAACAUUUCAUAAAAUAGUUUUCAAACAAAUUUCCUUAAUGAAAAACUACUCUGACCGAGAUUGUGUAUACAUUAUUUUGCAAUUGUGUUUUACCAUUUUUAGUGAUAUAUAAUGCUUCAAAAGGGUUCCGGC